This 461-nucleotide ribosomal RNA is filed under the name uncultured bacterium. RNAcentral describes it as "bacterial SSU rRNA". It matches the Rfam family "Bacterial small subunit ribosomal RNA", at positions 29 to 533 of the family's 1533-position model. The record is from RNAcentral.
AACGAACGCUGGCGGCAGGCCUAAAACAUGCAAGUCGAACGAACCUUCGGGUUAGUGGCGCACGGGUGAGUAACGCGUGGGAAUGUGCCUCUGGGUGCGGAACAACGUCGGGAAACUGACGCUAAUACCGCAUAAUGUCUACGGACCAAAGAUUUAUCGCCCAGAGAUCAGCCCGCGUCUGAUUAGCUAGUUGGUGAGGUAACGGCUCACCAAGGCUACGAUCAGUAGCUGGUCUGAGGGGAUGAUCAGCCACACUGGAACUGAGACACGGUCCAGACUCCUACGGGAGGCAGCAGUUAGGAAUAUUGGACAAUGGGCGCAAGCCUGAUGCAGCGACGCCGCGUGAGCGAAGAAGGUUUUCGGGAUCGUAAAGCUCUGUCCUCUGGGAAGAAAAAAAUGACGGUACCAGAGGAGGAAGCCCGGCUAACUACGUGCCAGCAGCCGCGGUAAGCUCGUCUCUA